AUGGGGGAAACCCUGACGCAGCAACGCCGCGUGGGUGAUGAAGGUCUUCGGAUUGUAAAGCCCUGUUUUCUGGGACGAUAAUGACGGUACCAGAGGAGGAAGCCACGGCUAACUACGUGCCAGCAGCCGCGGUAAUACGUAGGUGGCGAGCGUUGUCCGGAUUUACUGGGCGUAAAGGGUGCGUAGGCGGAUGUUUAAGUGGGAUGUGAAAUCCCCGGGCUUAACCUGGGGGCUGCAUUCCAAACUGGAUAUCUAGAGUGCAGGAGAGGAAAGCGGAAUUCCUAGUGUAGCGGUGAAAUGCGUAGAGAUUAGGAAGAACACCAGUGGCGAAGGCGGCUUUCUGGACUGUAACUGACGCUGAGGCACGAAAGCGUGGGUAGCAAACAGGAUUAGAUACCCUGGUAGUCCACGCCGUAAACGAUGGAUACUAGGUGUAGGGGGUAUCAACUCCCCCUGUGCCGCAGUUAACACAAUAAGUAUCCCGCCUGGGGAGUA
RNAcentral lists this ribosomal RNA (495 nucleotides) under uncultured bacterium. Its description in RNAcentral is "bacterial SSU rRNA". It matches the Rfam family "Bacterial small subunit ribosomal RNA", at positions 371 to 882 of the family's 1533-position model. The record is from RNAcentral.